AUCCUGUUGAAGAGUCCCAAACUAGGACGAAACAGCUGUCUAGUAC
This 46-nucleotide non-coding RNA is filed under the name Trichobilharzia regenti. Lineage: Eukaryota; Metazoa; Platyhelminthes; Trematoda; Strigeidida; Schistosomatidae. The record is from RNAcentral.